Molecule: transfer RNA, 69 nt
Filed under: Camelus bactrianus (Bactrian camel)
Lineage: Eukaryota; Metazoa; Chordata; Mammalia; Artiodactyla; Camelidae
Also listed under: 1 other name
Rfam family: tRNA
About the family: Transfer RNA (tRNA) molecules are approximately 80 nucleotides in length. Their secondary structure includes four short double-helical elements and three loops (D, anti-codon, and T loops).
Source: Rfam by way of RNAcentral
GAGGGUAUAGCUCAGUGGUAGAGCAUGUGCUUAUGCGUGAGGUCCUAGGUUUAAUCCCUAGUACCUCUC